Long non-coding RNA from Monopterus albus (swamp eel), 1916 nucleotides. RefSeq lists it as uncharacterized. NCBI's taxonomy places the organism in Eukaryota, Metazoa, Chordata, Actinopteri, Synbranchiformes, Synbranchidae. The transcript is spliced from 5 exons. The record is from RefSeq and is a predicted model, not a curated record.
UAUAGAUAAAAACAUGGCCGACGUUGACUUAAGGAGACUUGUGAACAUACCAAACCAAUAUCAAUAUCAGUGUACCUGUAAGGCACCAUGCAGGGCUCUGUUUGCCAACAGCCAUUAAACAACAGAAGAAGAAGAAGACGAAGAAGAAUAUGUAGGUUACACGAUUGUUUUUGUUUUUCUAUCAUCGCACGCGACCGACGUACACUCUGUGUAGGUUGAGGCUCUACUUCAUUCACACUCCUCACCUGAACAAAUGAGAUAACAGAGACGAGACUAACAAGAUUCAUCGCUCCGGAUUUCACCUUAAAGUGUUGCUACAAACAUUCACACACAGUCCAGCUAAGGGAAAAGGAGUUGUCCUUGGUGCAGUUGUCUGUCCUUGUGUGACUCUUUGGGCAGCCCUGACACAGCUCUCUGCCAAAUGGCCUUUCUCCCAGUCUACACAAACGCUGCAGGAGACUCAGUAGAUAAGAGAACCAGCACUUCCCCCAGCCUACACGAGUACUGGUCAACAAUGCAGCAAACCAAAUGCCUGACUUGGCUUAACAUCAACAUUCAAAAUAAGGAAGCUAUCAUCUGCAGAGCUGUUCAACAACAACACUGACCUGGGCACAUCUCUUAUUGGGAUUUGUCUAGGCUCUGUCUGGUGUCCACGUUCCAACCAUCCCUCGUAUGUGAUUGGUCAGCUCAGCGCCUUUGCCGGAUGAUGUCACUGUUUGGUGUGGUAAAAGCUGAACCUGAUCCAAUGUUUUCACCACAGGGGGCUCUGGCAAAAUGACACAGCCCCAUGGAGUGCUGCUGCCGGCUGUGGUGAAUGUAAUCCCCCAUAAAAAUGAAUGGGGAGAGGUGUGUAUUUUCACACCUUUGAAACUCAGUCUGAACGUGGGCUUGGAGUCAGAGACAAGAGAGACUGUCAUGUAAUGUGAAGAAGACAGAGAAAAGUAUUGACAGAUGAGAAGCUGAGGGCAAAGUUGCACCCUCCACACAACCUGUACACAUGCACAUAAAUCACUCCGAGCUACACCUGCACACUAUAGAGACAGGAGGCAUUUGAAGGACAGCACUGAACACGUGGAAACAUGGGGCUGCAGGCCUGUCUUCCGCCUCUAAGGGAUUCUUUACUGACCUCAUGAAGACCAACAUGAAAGAUGAGCUGACGUUCUUUGAUGUUGAAGGUUUGACUGCAAAGAGUAUGUCUCUUUAUAGAGCUCUGGAAAUGUUUGGACUAUAGUCUUUUCCACCAAUUAUAUUACACAGAAAGAGAUAUUAAAUGGGUUUUUAACCAUCUUGACACAGGGGGGGAAAAUGACAUGGACAGAUUCAAAGAAAAUGAUGAAGAGACAGACAUUAAAAGAGAGAUGGAGGAGAACAUACAGAGAAACAAAGACUGACAUGUAGAGAAACGUUUGUGCUCAACACAUGCAGUACAGUGUGUCUAAAGGGAAUGUUGUCUUAAGGUUUGACUGGGUUACAUUCAUGAUGUAAUGGCUGGUUCUUGUACUUUUCAUCUUUACAGACUUAGCCACAGUAUGAGCAGUAUUACUACCUGAGGGGGAAAAAAUAACAGCCUUGUUUUUUAGGAGCAGUAUAUUCAAUCAAACGACAACUAAUCAUGUAGGUUUUUAGUCCAACCAAACGUCACGGUAGCUGAAUAUGAUUAACACACUUCCGUCCACAGAGAUGUUCUAAGUAAAAUCAGGUGUCACACUGGUUCGAAUGAGAACCUGUAUCUAUCCAUAACAUAGACGGGCACAUAAAUAUCACACAUGUAAUGCUUGUCUUCUCCUUGACUCAGGAUAGGAGAUUUAAGCAGCAUCUUUUCACAAUGAUAGUUGAUUCACCUGAGAAGGUGUACUGCAGUAGUACUAUCUGUAGCCCUGUAUACUAGAUGACAUUUAGAGAGAAAUAUAUUUCAG